This 460-nucleotide ribosomal RNA is filed under the name uncultured bacterium. RNAcentral describes it as "partial 16S ribosomal RNA". It matches the Rfam family "Bacterial small subunit ribosomal RNA", at positions 338 to 795 of the family's 1533-position model. The record is from RNAcentral.
CCUACGGGCGGCAGCAGUGAGGAAUAUUGGUCAAUGGGCUUACGCCUGAACCAGCCAAGUAGCGUGAAGGAUGACUGCCCUAUGGGUUGUAAACUUCUUUUAUAUGGGAAUAAAAUGUUCCACGUGUGGGAUUUUGUAUGUACCAUAUGAAUAAGGAUCGGCUAACUCCGUGCCAGCAGCCGCGGUAAUACGGAGGAUCCGAGCGUUAUCCGGAUUGAUUGGGUUUAAAGGGAGCGUAGGUGGAUUGUUAAGUCAGUUGUGAAAGUUUGCGGCUCAACCGUAAAAUUGCAGUUGAAACUGGCAGUCUUGAGUACAGUAGAGGUGGGCGGAAUUCGUGGUGUAGCGGUGAAAUGCUUAGAUAUCACGAAGAACUCCGAUUGCGAAGGCAGCUCACUGGACUGCAACUGACACUGAGGCUCGAAAGUGUGGGUAUCAAACAGGAUUAGAUACCCGGGUAGUC